Molecule: long non-coding RNA, 1560 nt
Organism: Amphiprion ocellaris (clown anemonefish)
Lineage: Eukaryota; Metazoa; Chordata; Actinopteri; Pomacentridae
Source: Ensembl
CUCUCAUCCCUGUGUCUUGCUCUCCCUGCUCACCUGUCUGCACUCAGCUGAUUACUACAGGUGACUCACAUUGCAGUAAUCAGCUCACCUGCCUACAAUAUCACCUGUUCACUAUUUAAACCUUGCUCAUUGUCUCAGUCCCUGUCGGAUCGUAGAUACUGUUCCCCACCAAGCCUGCCACCUCCGGACUGCUUCAGCCCCAUGGACUCUGCUGCUUCCCCCUCCUGGAUUUCCCCUCCGCUUGGACUCUGUUGUGUUCCUGUUUGUCUGUUCAUGGAUUUUCCCCAGCCUGUUUUCCCCUCAGUUGUCAGUUUCCCCAUAUUGUGGUGGGUGGGGGUGCAGCUGUGGCCAGAUGUUUCCAAUCCAGUCAGAUGGAACUGGUGUGCCGGCAGGUGGGGGUGAUAAGGAUUUCCACCUCUACUCCCAUAGAAGCAGACUCUGUUCAUCACUUGUCACCAGACAGUCUUAAAGCCACAGUCAGUAUAAACCCACUGUCCUGUUCUAUUUUGUUUUGUUCUGUUCCUCUGCUCUGGCUCCUACUAACCUCUCUCUAGUGCUUUUGCCCUGUUAUCUGGAUUCCUGCCUGCUUGCACUACCCCUGAUUCUCCUGUCACCUAACCCUGAUCAGCUCAUUCUGUACCCUGGUUCCUCCACUCCUGCCACCCUCGUCUGUCUGGACCCCUUUCCAUUUUGGAUUGAGGCCUGGUUGUAGCACCUGCCCACCACCACCCAAACGCCACCUUACCCCUGCCACCCUCCUAUGGACCUCCCCCUCUGCGGUUGCCAUCCGCUAAGUUCCUGUUCAAUCUCGGUGCCAGACCUGUUGUUAGCGUAGAGUUGCCCCUGGUUAAUUCUAGCCUUGCUGAACUGUUAUUUAUACUGCGUUUGGUUACUUCAGGGUGUGUUCAGUCUCUGCCAUCCUGCCUGAGUUUUACCUUACAUGGGUUAGUGAGGUUCAUUCUGUUAGUUAUAAGUACUCUGGUUGUUGGUAUCUGCCGGACCACUAGAGGACUAUUGGUUCUUCGUACUCGUAGCUACUUCCUUUUCAUUUGUAGUUCUUUAAUGGAACUUGUAGUUUUGUUUGUUCUGCCUUGCAUUGUAAGUUGUUUAUAAUUGUCUAUGCCUGUUGUCGUGUCUCUUGCAUGUACUUGAGCCUCUGAUUAAGGGAUCCGUAACAUAUACAUAAAAUAUUUAUUUUCUUUGCUUUGAUUGUAUUAAUUACAACUUAUAGAGAGCUUGAUUGUGUUUCUGUAGGACUCAGUUCCUGUUUUAUUUAGUCAUUGUUGUAUUGUUUUAAUUUCCUUCAACUCAUUUUGUUCUGUAAAGUACCUUGUGUUGGAUUUCAUUUGUAUCAAACAUUGUAAACAAACAAAGCCUAAAAACUGGAACUAAACUGAUUAUACCUGGACUUUCCAAUCAGCCUUAUUGUGUGAACAUAGUUACGAAUAGCAGAACUUUCUGAAGUUUGACCCAAUGGACUGAGUCCAUCUGCAUGUCUGCAUCAUGGCUUCACAUGGAAAAGAAUUACCAGAUAACGGGAACAAUAAAAUCUGACUUUGA